This 184-nucleotide unclassified non-coding RNA is filed under the name Basidiomycota sp. RNAcentral's name for it is "partial contains small subunit ribosomal RNA, internal transcribed spacer 1, and 5.8S ribosomal RNA". The stretch from base 1 to 47 matches the Rfam family "Eukaryotic small subunit ribosomal RNA", at positions 1785 to 1831 of the family's 1831-position model. Lineage: Eukaryota; Fungi; Basidiomycota. The record is from RNAcentral.
AAAGUCGUAACAAGGUUUCCGUAGGUGAACCUGCGGAAGGAUCAUUUCCAAAUACCGGAGUUCGCUCCACGAGAUUGCCUAAAGGCCUUGCGCCUCUAGGCUUCUCAAAAUCUGCCUGUUGUAUUGUUUGUCAAAAUUGGUGCUUAAUAUAUAACAACUUUUAACAAUGGAUCUCUUGGCUCUU